AGCAGCCGCGGUAAUUCCAGCUCCAAUAGCGUAUAUUAAAGUUGUUGUGGUUAAAAAGCUCGUAGUUGAACCUUGGGCCUGGCUGGCCGGUCCGCCUCACCGCGUGUACUGGUCCGGCCGGGCCUUUCCCUCUGUGGAACCCCCAUGCCCCUUCACUGGGUGUGGCGGGGAAACAGGACUUUUACUUUGAAAAAAUUAGAGUGCUCCAGGCAGGCCUAUGCUCGAAUACAUUAGCAUGGAAUAAUAGAAUAGGACGUGUGGUUCUAUUUUGUUGGUUUCUAGGACCGCCGUAAUGAUUAAUAGGGACAGUCGGGGGCAUCAGUAUUCAAUUGUCAGAGGUGAAAUUCUUGGAUUUAUUGAAGACUAACUACUGCGAAAGCAUUUGCCAAGGAUGUUUUCAUUAAUCAGGAACGAAAGUUAGGGGAUCGAAGACGAUCAGAUACCGUCGUAGUCUUAACCAUAAACUAUGCCGACUAGGGAUCGGACGAUGUUAUUUUUUGACUCGUUCGGCACCUUACGG
This 520-nucleotide unclassified non-coding RNA is filed under the name uncultured Paraglomus. RNAcentral describes it as "SSU rRNA". It matches the Rfam family "Eukaryotic small subunit ribosomal RNA", at positions 569 to 1093 of the family's 1831-position model. The record is from RNAcentral. Lineage: Eukaryota; Fungi; Glomeromycota; Glomeromycetes; Paraglomerales; Paraglomeraceae.